CGUGGGUGAUCUGCCCUGCACUUCGGGAUAAGCUUGGGAAACUGGGUCUAAUACCGGAUAGGAGCCAUCUUUAGUGUGGUGGUUGGAAAGUUUUUCGGUUGUAGGAUGAGCUCGCGGCCUAUCAGCUUGUUGGUGGGGUAAUGGCCUACCAAGGCGGCGACGGGUAGCCGGCCUGAGAGGGUGUACGGCCACAUUGGGACUGAGAUACGGCCCAG
RNAcentral lists this ribosomal RNA (215 nucleotides) under uncultured Actinomycetales bacterium. RNAcentral's name for it is "partial 16S ribosomal RNA". It matches the Rfam family "Bacterial small subunit ribosomal RNA", at positions 116 to 334 of the family's 1533-position model. The record is from RNAcentral. Lineage: Bacteria; Bacillati; Actinomycetota; Actinomycetes; Actinomycetales.